UGGGGAAUAUUGCGCAAUGGCCGCAAGGCUGACGCAGCGACGCCGCGUGGGGGAUGAAGCAUUUCGGUGUGUAAACCCCUGUUGCUCGGGACGAACAGCCCUUUUCGAGGGGCCUGACGGUACCGGGUGAGGAAGCACCGGCUAACUCCGUGCCAGCAGCCGCGGUAAUACGGAGGGUGCGAGCGUUGUCCGGAAUCACUGGGCGUAAAGGGCGCGUAGGCGGUCUGCUAAGCGUGUGGUGAAAGCUCGGGGCUCAACCCCGAGUCGGCCAUGCGAACUGGUGGACUUGAGCACUGUAGAGGCAGGUGGAAUUCCGGGUGUAGCGGUGGAAUGCGUAGAGAUCCGGAAGAACACCGGUGGCGAAGGCGGCCUGCUGGGCAGUAGCUGACGCUGAGGCGCG
This 400-nucleotide ribosomal RNA is filed under the name uncultured bacterium. RNAcentral's name for it is "bacterial SSU rRNA". It matches the Rfam family "Bacterial small subunit ribosomal RNA", at positions 355 to 755 of the family's 1533-position model. The record is from RNAcentral.